UACGUAGGUGACCAGCGUUGUCCGGAUUUACUGGGCGUAAAGGGCGCGUAGGCGGUUCGCUAAGUCGGAUGUGAAAACUCUGGGCUCAACCCAGAGCCUGCAUCCGAAACUGGCGGGCUAGAGUUCUGGAGGGGGUAGCGGAAUUCCUGGUGUAGCGGUGAAAUGCGUAGAUAUCAGGAGGAACACCGGUGGCGAAGGCGGCUACCUGGACAGAAACUGACGCUGAGGCGCGAAAGCUAGGGGAGCAAACAGG
RNAcentral lists this ribosomal RNA (253 nucleotides) under uncultured bacterium. RNAcentral describes it as "partial 16S ribosomal RNA". It matches the Rfam family "Bacterial small subunit ribosomal RNA", at positions 524 to 776 of the family's 1533-position model. The record is from RNAcentral.